ACUCCUACGGGAGGCAGCAGUAGGGAAUCUUCCACAAUGGGCGCAAGCCUGAUGGAGCAACACCGCGUGAGUGAAGAAGGGUUUCGGCUCGUAAAGCUCUGUUGUUAAAGAAGAACACGUAUGAGAGUAACUGUUCAUACGUUGACGGUAUUUAACCAGAAAGUCACGGCUAACUACGUGCCAGCAGCCGCGGUAAUACGUAGGUGGCAAGCGUUAUCCGGAUUUAUUGGGCGUAAAGAGAGUGCAGGCGGUUUUCUAAGUCUGAUGUGAAAGCCUUCGGCUUAACCGGAGAAGUGCAUCGGAAACUGGAUAACUUGAGUGCAGAAGAGGGUAGUGGAACUCCAUGUGUAGCGGUGGAAUGCGUAGAUAUAUGGAAGAACACCAGUGGCGAAGGCGGCUACCUGGUCUGCAACUGACGCUGAGACUCGAAAGCAUGGGUAGCGAACAGGAUUAGAUACCCUGGUAGGAUAGCGUAGUCGUAGGAACAAGGCACACA
RNAcentral lists this ribosomal RNA (496 nucleotides) under uncultured bacterium. Its description in RNAcentral is "bacterial SSU rRNA". It matches the Rfam family "Bacterial small subunit ribosomal RNA", at positions 335 to 826 of the family's 1533-position model. The record is from RNAcentral.